Bombyx mori (domestic silkworm) is the source of this 85-nucleotide non-coding RNA. NCBI's taxonomy places the organism in Eukaryota, Metazoa, Arthropoda, Insecta, Lepidoptera, Bombycidae. The record is from Rfam.
UAAACUCAAAUUUGUAUGGAGUUGGAGCAGCCUCCCUACGUUUACCGCUAGGGGCGCUGCUCUAACUCCAUACAAAUUUAACUUU